UAUUUCUUAUCUCUUUUAGCAUUUAUUUUGACAAAUGUAUUCUUACUUUUAUUGUAUUUUUUUCGGUCUUUGUAAUACGGAAGGAUUGAUACGGUAGUGAGUAAAUUAGUCCAUGUCAUUUAUAUACUUUUACUACGUUAAAUGUUCUCUUUGAGACGUAGGAUUCCUAAAAAUACACUUGCAUAUGUUCAUACCAAAAAAACACUUGCACAUGUAGUUUCAUUUCAGCAUAUUUGUAAAAGCAAAAGGAAUCAAAAUCAUUUAAAACAAAACAUCGUUAUCUUUUGUAAAUGGAGAUUUGAGAGGUUUUUUUCCUUCUUUGAAUCCAAUUUCGCAACUAGGUGGUGCACCCAUUGCAGCACUUAUAACCACGUUAGCGGUUUUAUAAUCACGCGACUUAAUGAUCGUUAGAGCUUCCUUUAAGGAAUUUGUAGCAUCCGAAUAAAGUUCGAGGCAAUCACGUAAUGGUUUCUCACUAUACAUUUCAAAUCUAUUCUCCUUGAGAAUCUUGUCCACAAUUCCUUUCAUGCUUGUUGUUUUCGACACUGCGUUUUUCGUGGAUAACAUGACCAACCUGUCAAGACUACGUGCAGUUUUGCUCUGUGGAUUCUCUUCGAGAGACUUGACACAGAAGUUGUAAUGAAUCUUCGGGUUUUUAUCUGCAGCUUUCUUGCAAAAAUCUUGGAUCAAAGAUUGUGCAAUUGUGAAAGCGUUUAAGAGCAGAAAGAACAUAGCAAAAUAGAACAAGAACGUCAUAUUUUUUUAGGGAGUAUAGAAAAUUUGACGAAGAGGUUUUCACUUUCUUACUCAAUUUAUAUUUAAAAAAACUAAUAAUGUUUAAGGUUUUUUUACCAGAUAAGACUUGGUAUCUAACACAACGGC
RNAcentral lists this small RNA (882 nucleotides) under Arabidopsis thaliana (thale cress). RNAcentral's name for it is "ATSL292320". Lineage: Eukaryota; Viridiplantae; Streptophyta; Magnoliopsida; Brassicales; Brassicaceae. The record is from RNAcentral.